GGGGGGGGUGCGUUCUGUAAGCCUGCGAAGGUGUGCUGUGAGGCAUGCUGGAGGUAUCAGAAGUGCGAAUGCUGACAUAAGUAACGAUAAAGCGGGUGAAAAGCCCGCUCGCCGGAAGACCAAGGGUUCCUGUCCAACGUUAAUCGGGGCAGGGUGAGUCGACCCCUAAGGCGAGGCCGAAAGGCGUAGUCGAUGGGAAACAGGUUAAUAUUCCUGUACUUGGUG
Molecule: ribosomal RNA, 225 nt
Filed under: Chrysoreinhardia sp. CCMP2950
Lineage: Eukaryota; Pelagophyceae; Sarcinochrysidales; Chrysocystaceae
Description: partial Bacterial large subunit ribosomal RNA
Rfam family: Bacterial large subunit ribosomal RNA
Source: RNAcentral